RNAcentral lists this ribosomal RNA (425 nucleotides) under uncultured bacterium. RNAcentral describes it as "partial 16S ribosomal RNA". It matches the Rfam family "Bacterial small subunit ribosomal RNA", at positions 354 to 796 of the family's 1533-position model. The record is from RNAcentral.
GUGGGGAAUCUUGCGCAAUGGGCGAAAGCCUGACGCAGCCAUGCCGCGUGAAUGAUGAAGGUCUUAGGAUUGUAAAAUUCUUUCACCGGGGACGAUAAUGACGGUACCCGGAGAAGAAGCUCCGGCUAACUUCGUGCCAGCAGCCGCGGUAAUACGAAGGGGGCUAGCGUUGCUCGGAAUUACUGGGCGCAAAGGGCGCGUAGGCGGACAGCUUAGUCAGAGGUGAAAGCCCAGGGCUCAACCUUGGAAUUGCCUUUGAUACUGGCUGUCUUGAGUUUGGGAGAGGUGAGUGGAACUCCGAGUGUAGAGGUGAAAUUCGUAGAUAUUCGGAAGAACACCAGUGGCGAAGGCGACUCACUGGCCCAAUACUGACGCUGAGGCGCGAAAGCGUGGGGAGCAAACAGGAUUAGAUACCCCGGUAGUCC